This 250-nucleotide ribosomal RNA is filed under the name uncultured bacterium. Its description in RNAcentral is "partial 16S ribosomal RNA". It matches the Rfam family "Bacterial small subunit ribosomal RNA", at positions 524 to 773 of the family's 1533-position model. RNAcentral also lists the same sequence under 2 other names. The record is from RNAcentral.
UACGGAGGGAGCUAGCGUUGUUCGGAAUUACUGGGCGUAAAGCGCACGUAGGCGGCCAUUCAAGUCAGAGGUGAAAGCCCGGGGCUCAACCCCGGAACUGCCUUUGAAACUAGAUGGCUUGAAUCUUGGAGAGGCGAGUGGAAUUCCGAGUGUAGAGGUGAAAUUCGUAGAUAUUCGGAAGAACACCAGUGGCGAAGGCGACUCGCUGGACAAGUAUUGACGCUGAGGUGCGAAAGCGUGGGGAGCAAAC